AUGGUCUGGGCGAGGGGUAUACCAGUCAGGGAACCUCCCCAUCCUUCUCAGCAGCCUCGUGUAAGGAGACUCCGGCAUCAGAGCCUCCUCAUCCUCGUCGAUCUCUUCCUGCGUUUUCGGCAGCCCAUCAGGGACGGGGAAAGGCCUCGGCUUCGCUGUUUGCCCCGGGGAGUUUGA
Molecule: ribosomal RNA, 177 nt
Filed under: Triticum aestivum (bread wheat)
Lineage: Eukaryota; Viridiplantae; Streptophyta; Magnoliopsida; Poales; Poaceae
Description: partial small subunit ribosomal RNA
Source: RNAcentral